This 88-nucleotide microRNA precursor is filed under the name Drosophila grimshawi. Its description in RNAcentral is "microRNA dgr-mir-307 precursor". Its record names the gene dgr-mir-307. It matches the Rfam family "mir-67 microRNA precursor family". The record is from miRBase by way of RNAcentral. Lineage: Eukaryota; Metazoa; Arthropoda; Insecta; Diptera; Drosophilidae.
UGUCUUGCUUUGACUCACUCAACCUGGGUGUGAUGUUAUUUCGAUUUGGUAUCCAUCACAACCUCCUUGAGUGAGCGAUAGCAGGAUA